RNAcentral lists this long non-coding RNA (435 nucleotides) under Equus asinus (donkey). RNAcentral's name for it is "lncRNA (ENSEASG00005036279.1, ENSEASG00020022666.1)". The record is from RNAcentral. Lineage: Eukaryota; Metazoa; Chordata; Mammalia; Perissodactyla; Equidae.
CUUUACUCACUUAUUCUCUGAGCUUUGUAUGGACUAGCACUGUUCCCACCCAGGGUAGAUACUCAACAAGUGGCUGAUACUAAUUAACAUUAACUAAUUAAUAUUAACAUAUUAACCAGGCUCCAUCUCAACAAGGUCAAACUUAGAAGGUGGGAAUGUGAUUUGAGGUUUCCCAGAAAACUGCUGACCCCAAAACAUACCUCACCUGCCACGAGACAAGGCCCAGGUCCCGUUGAUUACGCAUUUGGUUUAGGUUGAGGUUAUAGAACAUGGACACGUGAUCGUGAGAGAACCAGAGGAAUGCUGGGCAUUUCCCAGAGAUCUUGAACUAGGAGCUGCAUGCAUGAAUUGAUGCAGCUCUGGGUUUCCUCAUUUUGGGGAAAAGGAUUUUGUAUUUUAUAAGCAAAGCAAGAAGUUUAUAAAAGAAGAAGACAU